RNAcentral lists this ribosomal RNA (618 nucleotides) under uncultured bacterium. RNAcentral's name for it is "bacterial SSU rRNA". The stretch from base 1 to 531 matches the Rfam family "Bacterial small subunit ribosomal RNA", at positions 338 to 873 of the family's 1533-position model. The record is from RNAcentral.
CCUACGGGAGGCAGCAGUAAGGAAUAUUGGACAAUGGGCGAAAGCCUGAUCCAGCCAUGCCGCGUGAAGGAUUAAGGUCCUCUGGAUUGUAAACUUCUUUUAUGUGGGACGAAAAAAGGGCAUUCUUGCUCACUUGACGGUACCAUUUGAAUAAGCACCGGCUAACUCCGUGCCAGCAGCCGCGGUAAUACGGAGGGUGCAAGCGUUAUCCGGAUUCACUGGGUUUAAAGGGUGCGUAGGCGGGUAGGUAAGUCAGUGGUGAAAUCUCGAAGCUUAACUUCGAAACUGCCAUUGAUACUAUCUAUCUUGAAUAUUGUGGAGGUUUGCGGAAUAUGUCAUGUAGCGGUGAAAUGCUUAGAUAUGACAUAGAACACCGAUUGCGAAGGCAGCAGGCUACACAUAUAUUGACGCUGAGGCACGAAAGCGUGGGGAUCAAACAGGAUUAGAUACCCUGGUAGUCCACGCUCUAACGAUGAUUACUCGACAUACGCGAUACACUGUGUGUGUGUGAGAGAAGAGAUAAGUAAUACUUACGUUAGGUAAGUUACGUUCCGCGAGAGAGAACGACGAAGAAGUUAGAGGCGNGAGAGNGCGACGGACGACGACGAGGAGGUUAGG